RNAcentral lists this unclassified non-coding RNA (496 nucleotides) under uncultured Archaeospora. RNAcentral describes it as "SSU rRNA". It matches the Rfam family "Eukaryotic small subunit ribosomal RNA", at positions 591 to 1092 of the family's 1831-position model. Lineage: Eukaryota; Fungi; Glomeromycota; Glomeromycetes; Archaeosporales; Archaeosporaceae. The record is from RNAcentral.
CCAAUAGCGUAUAUUAAAGUUGUUGCAGUUAAAAAGCUCGUAGUUGAAUUUUGGGUUUGGCCGAUUGGUCCGUUCUUGUAGCGAGUACUGGUCGGUUGGGCCUCACCGCUUGGGGAAGGGUAAUGUCCUUUAUUGGGUGUUGCUCGGAGCCAAGACCUUUACCUUGAAAAAAUUAGAGUGUUUAAAGCAGGCUUAUGCCGGAAUACAUUAGCAUGGAAUAAUAGAAUAGGACAACGAUUCUAUUUUGUUGGUUUCUAGGACCGUUGUAAUGAUUAAUAGGGAUAGUUGGGGGCAUUAGUAUUCAAUUGUCAGGGGUGAAAUUCUUGGAUUUAUUGAAGACUAACUACUGCGAAAGCAUUUGCCAAGGAUGUUUUCAUUAAUCAAGAACGAAAGUUAGGGGAUCGAAGACGAUCAGAUACCGUCGUAGUCUUAACCAUAAACUAUGCCGACUAGGGAUCGGGCGAUGUUGUUUCAAUGACUCGCUCGGCACCUUAUG